UUUUCCUAAAAACUAUCUACUAGUUAGGACGACGUCUUGCCAAUCAUUAUUGUUGGAUCACAAGGGAAGCAUGUUCAUCUAUAUUGUUUGAUUAAAAACAAGGGUCUUGUUAACGGGUGUCUCCGGAGCACUCUUUAAGCAUUUCUAACGAGGAAAUUAUUCUUUAAAAAAAAGUAAAACUUCAAUUUCCAACGCAAUAAAUGCACACACUUUUAUAAAAUCUUACUACUUUAGGUGCUUAAGAAGUGCUAAGGAGGCACUCGUUAACAAGACCGUUGUUUUUAAUCAAAUAGGUUGGGUGAAAAACCCCAAUCCGAAGCAUUCCACGGAUGAGGAUAAGCCAUCCAUCUCCGUCCGCCCAUACCAUCGGAUUGCUCGGUUUCAGUUUAUUCGGUUUGUCGGAUGGAUCCGGCGAGUUGAAACGGUUUAAACAUCAGCUAAAAAAAUCAGCAGAAUAACGGUAUAUAUCAACACAGAAGAAGGAUUGUAUGGUUAUCUACAAAAUUUCAAUGGCCCAACAAUUCAAUAACCUAGAAUAACAGGACAAUCAAUAGAAAAGGGAAGAAAAAAACCCAGAUCAAAUGAAAAAUGGUGAAGGGUAUGAUGAGAUCAAAAACCCACGAAUCAAUAAAAGAGGAAGAGAUUGAGAGAGAGGUGCCGCUGCUUUGGGAGAGAAGAAAAUGGUAAAGAAUUGAGAUGAGACAUGUGAGUUUAUCA
This 717-nucleotide long non-coding RNA is filed under the name Medicago truncatula (barrel medic). RNAcentral describes it as "long non-coding RNA (MTRU_LNC002697)". Lineage: Eukaryota; Viridiplantae; Streptophyta; Magnoliopsida; Fabales; Fabaceae. The record is from RNAcentral.